CUACGGAGGGUGCAAGCGUUAUCCGGAAUCAUUGGGUUUAAAGGGUCCGUAGGCGGGCGAUUAAGUCAGAGGUGAAAUCCCACAGCUCAACUGUGGAACUGCCUUUGAUACUGGUUGUCUUGAAUUUUAGUGAAGUAGAUAGAAUAUGUAGUGUAGCGGUGAAAUGCAUAGAUAUUACAUAGAAUACCGAUUGCGAAGGCAGUCUACUAACUAACACUUGACGCUAAUGGACGAAAGCGUGGGGAGCGAACAGGAUUAGAAACCCUAGUAGUCC
This 274-nucleotide ribosomal RNA is filed under the name uncultured bacterium. Its description in RNAcentral is "partial 16S ribosomal RNA". It matches the Rfam family "Bacterial small subunit ribosomal RNA", at positions 523 to 796 of the family's 1533-position model. The record is from RNAcentral.